UACGGAGGGUGCAAGCGUUAUCCGGAUUCACUGGGUUUAAAGGGAGCGCAGGCGGAUUUGUAAGUCAGUGGUGAAAGGCUUAAGCUUAACUUGGGAACUGCCAUUGAUACUAUAAGUCUUGAAUGUUGUUGAGGUUUGCGGAAUGGGUCAUGUAGCGGUGAAAUGCAUAGAUAUGACCCGGAACACCUAUUGCGAAGGCAGCAGGCUAACCAAAUAUUGACGCUGAGGCUCGAAAGCGUGGGGAUCAAACAGG
RNAcentral lists this ribosomal RNA (253 nucleotides) under uncultured bacterium. Its description in RNAcentral is "partial 16S ribosomal RNA". It matches the Rfam family "Bacterial small subunit ribosomal RNA", at positions 524 to 776 of the family's 1533-position model. The record is from RNAcentral.